CCUAAAAACUACAUUCUGCGAAAUUACAGGCUGGGUCACACUUAAGUUAGUCUGCGACUGGACUUUAACCCUGUCUGGGAAACUGCCCUAAAAUGUUUAAUCCUUUUCUCUUUUUCUCUUUUUCAUGGCCUUAGCUCCUGAUUGAUGGUUUCUUGGCCACCUUGGUUCUAUUUCUGGUAGUGGAGUUGGCAUUCUGCAUUGUGACCAUUUUGUGUGGACUUAGUGCUCUGGCAAAAGGUGGCUUGCAGCUGCCUGGUUUCAGACAGCGUGCAGCCCCAUCUCAGCCUGAAGCAGCCACACCCAGCCAACCCCAGGUGGAGGUGAUGGUGUCCGAGGGGGAGCCAGUGCCAGUUUUAGUGCCAGAACGUGAGUCUGACCCCAAAUUUGAGCCGACAGAAGAAAUCCCCAGCCCCCCCACUGAACCUCAGAUUGCCCCCAUUGACUCUUUAACAGACGUUUGAGAUUAUUGAUGUAAUCUGUAUGUAGGCCUAUAUGUAGAUCGUAUUUAGGGUUUUGGCACAAGAGUAUCCCAGUGGACUAUAAUUGUUUUGCUCUAAACGGUCGAGAGUCCAUCUGUCAUGUCACAUUUACAUCUAUGCUGCAAAAGCCAGCACCAGCAUGACUGGUGUAAAUAAUCUUGAAGACUGCUUAAAGAAUGAAAACAUGAACGAAAUGUAAGCAUGCAUAAAGGACUUGACUUAAUCAAAGAUAUUUUUAUUGUUUUGUUUUUUAUUGGAUAUUGUUACCAGGUUAACAUCAUGCAGUAUGUCAAACUCACUAUUAUUCUACAAGUGUAAAUCCAUUUAUUUUGCAACAGUACUAAUAAUAAGGGAGAUGUGUUGCUACAAUAUGUUAAUAUAUUCACAUAAUGCAAUACAUUCCCACAGUUUCAACUUCAUUUACCUCUUAAGUAUUACUCAUUAGAAACCUGAUAUAGACAUGUGACAUUUAGUAACACAAAUCUGUAGGCUCACAAAGUAAGCAAACACAGUAUUUUUGGUAGAAUACUGUUAACCACACAUCUUUCCUGGAAAACGUUGUUCCUUAUUAAGAGUUAAAAAUUGUAUCCAUAUUUGAAUUUGAAAACUAAAACUUUUGUGCUUUAGCGCACGUAAAUCCAGUUCAGUUUAGGAUUAGGCUUUGUCUGUGGAACCAUUUCUGAAAUCUGUAAAAUACAACGAAUGAAAUGAAAAUAUGUUCUAUGUAUGUUUCAGUUUGAUUGCCAUUAUUGAAUUAUAAGGCUUAUAUAGUUCAGGUAAAGUUAAUUCACUUAUUAAACUUACUCAUUAGACUUACAAUAUGUUGCUUUUUUGGUAUUUUUAUUCAUGUGAAAUGCUACUUAAAUAGUCAUUAUCUAAGGUACUAUAGAUCUAACAAAGCCAAAGUAUUUUAUUGUUUGUCUGCUUUACCUAAAAUGUGAAUGAUUUGUUAUUUGCCUUUACAUUUACUGCCUUAGCUAUUGUAUAUCCUUUCAUUUGACAUCCUUUACUAAAAAUAUUGACUGUUCACUUCAUUUUGUUAUUAAUUAUGAUUAUGGCCAUGGUCCUAUUCCUUUUGUUCCCAAAGCAACUGGUGUGACAUUUAACACAUUAUCACAGUUUAAAGUGAAGUGUAUUUGACAGAGGUCUAAAGUAGAGAAAUGUUUUUACUGUACAUUUUGUCAAGUAUCUAUACUUUGUCAGAGUGUUUUCACUUUGGACAAACUUUACUUCACUACACAUUAUAAAGCAUAUCAUCUGUUUUACUCCACCUUAUAAACACAUGUUUACGUUUUUAGUACAUUAAAAAUAUACUUUCUUACUUUUACUCAAAUAAAAGUAAAACUAAAACAUUACUAGAAAAUGUUGAUGUAGUUCAAGUUCGUUUAUAGAGCACAUUUAAAAACGGCCCCAGGCUGACCUAAGUGCUGUACAUGUGCAAAUAAUACUGUUAUAAUGUUGGAUUAGGUUAAAUUGUGUUGAAUGUGUAGUUCUCUAUGUACAAAUGCAUAGUAGUGUAUUAGCCAAUCACGUGCUGUUACGUCACUGUACGGGGACAGGUUCAGUUUGUUGUGUUAAGAGAGUGUGCUCGCAUGUUCCGGUGCGGAUGGUUGAGAAGAAUCCCAUCAGCGCCGGGCAAGAGCAUAACCCCGUUAUUGUACACUUUAUUUACUUUAUAUACAAGUAAAGUGACUGAAAUGAUCAUCUGUGUUGUGUGCCUCUCUUCACUCCUCCACGGACACACAGAGAACACAAUAAGGGAGAGCAUAACAAUACUAAGAAAUUAUUAACACAAAUAAUAUUUGAAACACAAUAGAAAAUAAAACAAACAAACCAAAAGCCAAGAAUAAAAAUCAAGGACAAUCUUCAUAGGCUAAAAGCAAGAGAGAAUAAAUAAGUUUUAAGAUGGGAUUUCAAUUCAGACAAAGAAGAAACCGAUCUAAUAAUGUAGGGCCAACCACUUCUUAAGCACGGUUACCCCUUGAUUUCAGCUGAAUUCUGGGUUUUGUAUGGAGGAGCUUAGAUUCAGAUCUGAGGCUUCUAGCGGGAGAAUAUAGAUGUAAAAGGUCGGACAGAUAAGCAGGGGCUAGAUCAUUAAGUGAUUUAUAGUGAUUCAUCAUUGGGACCCAUCAUACAGGCUCACGGCUUCUCGUAUCACUGUUAUGCUGACGACACCCAGAUCUAAGUCUUGUUUCACCCAGACGAUACCACUGUAGCAACUCUCAUUACAGCCUGCCUAGAAGACAUCUCUUCUUGGAUGAAAGAGCAUCACCUCCAGCUGAACCCUGCCAAGACAGAACUACUCGUGUUUUCCGGCACUGCAACACUAUCUCACCAUCCAACUUGGCAAUACCACAAUCACUCCUUCCAAAACAGCCAGGAAGCUCGGAGUCAUAUUUGAUGAACAGCUGUCCUUCAAUGAUCACAUUGCAAAGACAACGCAGUCAUGCCGAUAUGCCUUAUUCAACAUUGGAAAGGUUAGACCCUAUUUCACUGAGCAUGCGGCACAACUCCUUGUCCAGGCCCUGGUAAUCUCAAGGUUGGACUACUGCAAUGGCUAUCAAACCACUCCAGCUGGUUCAGAUCGCAGCAGCACGCCUCGUCUUCCAACAGCCUAAAAGGGCUCAUGUGACAGCCCUUUUCAUCUCUCUCCACUGGCUACCGGUUGAAGCCCGUAUCAGAUUCAAGUUACUAAUGCUUGCCUACAGGACUAUCACUGGAUCUGCACCAGCAUACUUUCACACCCUCCUACACCCCAUCAAGAACCCUGCGUUCAGCAAACCAGCGGCGUCUUGUAUUGCCUUCUCAUAAGGGCAGUAAAUCGCUUUCCCGCUCAUUCUCCUUCACAACUCUUUCCUGGUGGAACAUUCUUCCUAACUCAGUCCGGUCAACCACAUCUCUCACAACAUUCAAAAAAUGCCCAUCUCUUCUGUGAAUACUUGACAGAAAAAAAAGAGAAAAAAAAGAAAAGUAAACACUAACCCUCUCUCUUUCUCUCAACAGGUAUUGAUCUAGCUUUUGUUGAAACUAGUAACUUUGUAUUAGCACAUAUCGUAUUAUUGCUCCUGUAUGACAUAUCGCUUAUUGCUCCCUGAACUCUCUGUAAGUCGCUUUGGAUAAAAGUAUCUGCUAAAUGACUAAACGUAAAUGUUUGUAUAUGUGUACUGAAUAUGUAUACUUCUUCCACUGCACUGUUACUUAGAUAGCUUCUGUCCAUAAUCUAUUUGCACUACUCUAUAUCCAUUGCAAUACUGCUAUAACUGCUAUAACUUAUCGUAUAUACCCAUCUGUAAAUUUCCUGUUUAUAGUAAUAGCCACCUGUAUACGUAUUAUAUUCAUUGUACAUACCCAUCUGUAAACUACUUCCAUAAUACUGUUUUUUCCUGCACUUAUGCAACCUCUGUAUAUCCUGCACUUGCUGCUAUUGCACUUCUGGUUAGACAAAACUACAUUCCGUUGCCUUGUACUUGUACACGUGUAAUGACAAUAAAUUUGAAUCUAAUCUAAUCUAAAAGUUUGUGUGUGUGUGUGUGUAUGUUUACAGUUUGAAAGAAAGACAUAAUAUUUUACAUAUUUUUUAAAUCGCAA
Molecule: long non-coding RNA, 4067 nt
Organism: Triplophysa rosa
Lineage: Eukaryota; Metazoa; Chordata; Actinopteri; Cypriniformes; Nemacheilidae
Exons: 3
Source: RefSeq, a predicted model, not a curated record